This 498-nucleotide long non-coding RNA is filed under the name Fukomys damarensis (Damara mole-rat). RNAcentral describes it as "lncRNA (ENSFDAG00000030762.1)". Lineage: Eukaryota; Metazoa; Chordata; Mammalia; Rodentia; Bathyergidae. The record is from RNAcentral.
CUGGAAACUCGGACUCUGAAUGCUUGGAAUAUGAAUGCUUCCUCCCAGAGUCACAGUGUUUAUGCUGCUGUGUAUGUCAUUGUGCGGGCACUUCUCAGAGAACUCUCACUCAGGUGGAAGAAGAAUCACGUGACAUGGUGCAGCUGUGGCCUCUCAUCCAUGGCAGGAAUUUCUCUCCAUCUACUAUGACAAUUAAAAGACUAGUGUAAAGUUGCAGUUCACUGAAGACCCCUUAAAGACAAUGUGCAAUGGCUGCACAUUCCACUCCUCUUAUUGCCAAAUGGUCGGUGAAGUUGAUGUUCUCAGUUUGCCAUUUGUCCUCUUAGAGGUGAGUCAGAGCUGUGCACAAAUAGGCAAUCAAGGGUAGGUGUCCUCUUAUUUUUCUUUAAAACCCAUUAAUAACCUACUUUCUACUAUAUUGUAAAUGUCAUUCUGUAUCAGUACAGGGAAAUGGCAUAGCAUGGGGAUAAUCCACCUGCAUUUAUUUUGUGGUUUGGC